ACUGCUAUUUUAUGUGGUGUUGUGUCUGUGCUGUUUCAUAUCAUCCGUCUGUGUUCUUUUCCAGACCAGUCUCAGGAACAGAGGUACAACUCAAUUGCCGUGGCGGGGGCAGUGAUGGGGGCGGUCCUCGCCCUUUUCCUCAUUGCUGUCUUCACCAUCAUCAUCCUCACCGCACGGAAGACCUCGCCCCCAGCGUUCACAGACAAAGUGAUUGAUCUACCUCCAACACACAAACCGCCUCCUCCCUACACAGAGAGACCCCCAGCCAUCCCUCUGGCUGUCCAUGCACCACAGGUGGCCUCCCUGUCACAGACUCGCAGGGCUGAUCGACGGUUUGAGAUGGCAGAGAGAACACCCACCAGGCUCGCGCACCGGGAACCGCGAAGCCCCUCCCACCAGCUACUGUCUUAUCAGGAAUGGGUGUGUCACCAGCAUGGGACGGACCGCGUCUACAUCAACCACCGGGAAAACUAUGUGUGACAGACACAUCUUGAGCCCUUCUAUGGACCUGUCAAUCAAUCACUCACCCAUCCCCACCCAACGCCAUGCAUGCUCCCAGAGGCCAUCCUUUACAAUGUGAAGAACACAGGCAAAGAAACAGCUCAUGAUUUGACCAAGCCUUCACAGAUGUGUCUACUCCACAUUUAAACUCAUUUGAGAGUAGCAGUUAUGAGCUGUAAGAAACAAGACUAAUGAGGCCGAAGCAUAAACUGCUGAGUUUCUCUGAGGAACACAUCCAUACACCUCCUCCCCUCCCCUCCGCUCCACUACCAUAAACCACCACACACCUUUUCUGUUCCCAACCACAUUAAUAAACAGAGCAUAACAGUAGGGGGAAUGGGAGGAAACCGACUUGGUACAGUAUGACAAAAUAGCUAUUUAAAACAACGCACUAAUCUCUGUUGUGUACUAUAUAGGAGUGGAAUAAUAUGAACACACCGUACUAAUCUUUAACCUGUAUAGGAGUGAAAUAAGUUACUAUGUCACGGUAGCUAUAGUGAUAUUGUAAUUAUGUGAUAUUCCUGUGUUCAGUUAUGCUUUUUGAAUUAGAUUUAAACCUAAUUAAAACACCGUAAACCCUCUUAUAUAAUCCCACAGCACCCCCCUAACACUCGUACUUGACUUGUUCCCCCCAAUAGCACUGACUUUGCUGAUAGCUACUUUAUUGAGGAUAAAUGUACUGACUAUGACUGAGAUAUGUGGUAGCUAUCUUAAGAUGAAUGCACUAACUGUAAGUCACUCUUGAUAAGAGCGUCUGCUAAACUACUGAAAUAAAUGUAAUAAAUAUUUAUAUAAUUGUGGUAUUAAAUAUCAGACAUAUCUCAAAAUUGUUCUGGUAAACACGCAGCCAAUUUAGUAGGAUUCUAACUUUCUGGUAAUAGAACAAAGAUGGCAACAUUGUCUGAAGCAGAGUUUCCCGAACUCGGUCCUGGGACGCCCCCUGGGUGUACGUUUCGUUUUCUGCCCUAGCGCUACACAGGUGAUUCAGAUAAUCAACUUGUCAUCAAGCUCUGAUGAUUUGAAUCAGCUGUAUAGUGCUAGGGGAAAAGAACUAAAAGUGCACCCAGGGCAGGCCCCAGUACCGUGUUUGGAAAAUCCUGGUCUGAAGGACCAGUCACCAGUGUUACAUCAGGAUCAAGUAUUUCAUUGAGUAGCAUUCAGAUAGUAACAUAUAAUGUAAAUUCGCUGUAUUCAAAUGUUCAGAACUAAAAUGUUCAGAAAAUAUAAAUGUGGUGUAGUUAGUUAGCUAGUGUUUUGAGAAGUCAACUGAAUCAUAUAAAAUAUUUACUUCCGCACAUGAAAUUUAAACAUGAAUCAUUCUUUCGUCAGUGAGAAAAUCAGAUUUCGUUUUUUUCAUUGCAAGUUUGUAGUUUUUCAAAUUUUCUUGUGCCAUGUUAAUAUUUGAAGGGGGAUCCUUUCCACUAUAGAUAUGAUCUGUUUUUUUUAUUGUAAUUCUUCCAUUGUGACUAGUUAAA
Molecule: long non-coding RNA, 1976 nt
Filed under: Salmo trutta (river trout)
Lineage: Eukaryota; Metazoa; Chordata; Actinopteri; Salmoniformes; Salmonidae
Description: lncRNA (ENSSTUG00000019180.1)
Source: RNAcentral